GCCGGAGUGGUGAAAUUGGUAGACACGCUUGGCUUAGGACCAAGUGCCUUCGGGUGUGGGGGUUCAAGUCCUCUCUCCGGUACCA
This 85-nucleotide transfer RNA is filed under the name Patescibacteria group bacterium. RNAcentral describes it as "tRNA-Leu". It matches the Rfam family "tRNA". From Rfam's summary of the family: Transfer RNA (tRNA) molecules are approximately 80 nucleotides in length. Their secondary structure includes four short double-helical elements and three loops (D, anti-codon, and T loops). Further hydrogen bonds mediate the characteristic L-shaped molecular structure. tRNAs have two regions of fundamental functional importance: the anti-codon, which is responsible for specific mRNA codon recognition, and the 3' end, to which the tRNAs corresponding amino acid is attached (by aminoacyl-tRNA synthetases). tRNAs cope with the degeneracy of the genetic code in two manners: having more than one tRNA (with a specific anti-codon) for a particular amino acid; and 'wobble' base-pairing, i.e. permitting non-standard base-pairing at the 3rd anti-codon position. The record is from RNAcentral.